RNAcentral lists this ribosomal RNA (254 nucleotides) under uncultured bacterium. Its description in RNAcentral is "partial 16S ribosomal RNA". It matches the Rfam family "Bacterial small subunit ribosomal RNA", at positions 524 to 776 of the family's 1533-position model. The record is from RNAcentral.
UACGGAGGGAGCUAGCGUUGUUCGGAAUUACUGGGCGUAAAGCGCGCGUAGGCGGCUUUGUAAGUUAGAGGUGAAAGCCCGGGGCUCAACCCCCGGAAUUGCCUUUAAGACUGCAUCGCUUGAAUCCGGGAGAGGUGAGUGGAAUUCCGAGUGUAGAGGUGAAAUUCGUAGAUAUUCGGAAGAACACCAGUGGCGAAGGCGGCUCACUGGACCGGCAUUGACGCUGAGGUGCGAAAGCGUGGGGAGCAAACAGG